RNAcentral lists this ribosomal RNA (801 nucleotides) under uncultured Methylophilaceae bacterium. Its description in RNAcentral is "bacterial SSU rRNA". It matches the Rfam family "Bacterial small subunit ribosomal RNA", at positions 8 to 804 of the family's 1533-position model. Lineage: Bacteria; Pseudomonadati; Pseudomonadota; Betaproteobacteria; Nitrosomonadales; Methylophilaceae. The record is from RNAcentral.
AGAGUUUGAUCAUGGCUCAGAUUGAACGCUGGCGGAAUGCUUUACACAUGCAAGUCGAACGGCAGCACGGACUUCGGUCUGGUGGCGAGUGGCGAACGGGUGAGUAACAUAUCGGAACGUAUCCAAUAAUGGGGGAUAACUAAUCGAAAGGUUGGCUAAUACCGCAUACGCCCUGAGGGGGAAAGCUAGGGAUCUUCGGACCUGGCGUUAAUGGAGCGGCCGAUAUCUGAUUAGCUAGUUGGUGAGGUAAAGGCUCACCAAGGCGACGAUCAGUAGCUGGUCUGAGAGGACGACCAGCCACACUGGAACUGAGACACGGUCCAGACUCCUACGGGAGGCAGCAGUGGGGAAUUUUGGACAAUGGGCGCAAGCCUGAUCCAGCCAUUCCGCGUGAGUGAAGAAGGCCUUCGGGUUGUAAAGCUCUUUCGCAAGGGAAGAAAACUUAUCCUCUAACAUAGGAUGAGGUUGACGGUACCUUGAUAAGAAGCACCGGCUAACUACGUGCCAGCAGCCGCGGUAAUACGUAGGGUGCGAGCGUUAAUCGGAAUUACUGGGCGUAAAGCGUGCGCAGGCUGUUUUGUAAGUCAGAUGUGAAAUCCCUGGGCUCAACCUAGGAACUGCGUUUGAAACUACAAGACUAGAAUAUGUCAGAGGGGGGUAGAAUUCCACGUGUAGCAGUGAAAUGCGUAGAGAUGUGGAGGAAUAUCAAUGGCGAAGGCAGCCCCCUGGGAUAAUAUUGACGCUCAUGCACGAAAGCGUGGGGAGCAAACAGGAUUAGAUACCCUGGUAGUCCACGCCCUA